Molecule: non-coding RNA, 890 nt
Organism: Drosophila melanogaster (fruit fly)
Lineage: Eukaryota; Metazoa; Arthropoda; Insecta; Diptera; Drosophilidae
Source: Ensembl
AGUUCAGAACUUGAGUUUAGUAUAUGCCAAACACCAGCAGGGGCAAACGACCUGCUCGGCCAGUGGCUAAAUAUAUCCGCGCGCAUAUUUCCGACUAAAAUUAGCGAUUCAUUCAGAAAACACAUGUUUAAUAUUCAAAAAGGCAUAACAAUGACAACAAACUAAAAGAAAAAUGCAUUCCCCAAAGGGAAAAAAAACAGCGACACACAUACGCACGACUAACACGAUAGAAACCAUUGAAAAGAGGACAAAGAAGAUUUGAAAUGUUAGAGCUACGACGGAUGUACGGCUAUCUACUCCUGCUGCACCGCCGACUCCUCCAGAUUGCAGAAGACAUUGCGCAUCUUGUCCAGGUCGGGCGGCGCGGUGUCCGGGUUCCGGAUCCACAUGAUGUAGGCCUGUUUGUCGGUCCGGGUCAGCGGCUUGAAGUUUCGCGGAUUCUGCGCCUCCUCGUCCUGCAGCUUAGAGUUGUAGCGCGCGUAAAGGAAGAUCCGGUAUCGCCAGUUGUCGAAGGUCUGCUUCCACUCGGUCACGUGCUUCACGGCACCCUGCGGCACGGCGUUCAGCAGGUUGGCCAGCUUCAGCCAGUAUGGGUCCAGCGCAGGAUCAUUGCGACGGUGAUCGUUGAUGAACUGGUGCUGCUGCAGGAAGUGUACGUACAGUUCCUUCUGCCGCUUGGACAUGCGCUCCUUGCGCUCUGCGGACGAGAAACAGAUGAACACCAUUAACUCAUUAACACCAUUGUUCCGUAAUCGGCUAAAUAAUUUUAAAAUUUAUUAAUUAAUGCAAAUUAAUACACCUGAUAACAUUGGAAUGCGCUCAAUUGGUGUGCGCUUUGUUUAUGAACAUCGCGAAUGCAGCCCUAAUGGAAAACGGCAAUUAUAUUAUUU